GCAUCCAAAAUCUUUUUAAUAAGAAGGUAGGAUCCAGGGUUAGUUUUUGUAGCCUUGGCUGGCCCCUUGGCCUCUGGCAUACUCGAACUUCCGGCCCUUGGAGCGGACGUAGGGUUUGGUGUGGCUGUGUGGGGUUCCCAGGGCCUUGUCGAAAUGCCAGUACACCUCUCGACCCUUGCGAGGACCUGAGAGCAGGACGGUGCCGCAGACCUUGGGGGAGUCCAGGGCCAGCUGGUCGAAAGUGAGGUUCUUGCCCCCCACCCUGAAGAUGUGGCUGCGGGCCCGGCUGGUCACGCCCAGUGCACACACCUUCAGUUUGGGCACCUCCUGAACCCACACGUCAUCUGUUAUGGUUCCCACAACCACGGCCGUUUUGUUUUCCUGGCCAGGAAGCUUCAUUUUCGGGAUCAUCCGGGAAAGGGACAGAGGUGGCUGGUUGGUGCACUCAUAAACAACCUCUUCAGCACU
This 468-nucleotide long non-coding RNA is filed under the name Homo sapiens (human). Its description in RNAcentral is "HSALNT0128162". The record is from RNAcentral. Lineage: Eukaryota; Metazoa; Chordata; Mammalia; Primates; Hominidae.